CCUACGGGUGGCAGCAGUGGGGGAUUUUGCACAAUGGGGGGAACCCUGAUGCAGCGACGCCGCGUGGGUGAAGGAGCGUUUCGGCGCGUAAAGCCCUAUCGGCAGGGAAGAAGAUGACGGUACCUGGCCAAGAAGCCCCGGCUAACUACGUGCCAGCAGCCGCGGUAAUACGUAGGGGGCAAGCGUUAUCCGGAUUUACUGGGUGUAAAGGGAGCGUAGGCGGCGAUGCAAGUCAGAAGUGAAAGCCCGGGGCUCAACUCCGGGACUGCUUUUGAAACUGUAUGGCUAGAUUGCAGGAGAGGCAAGUGGAAUUCCUAGUGUAGCGGUGAAAUGCGUAGAUAUUAGGAGGAACACCAGUGGCGAAGGCGGCUUGCUGGACUGUAAAUGACGCUGAGGCUCGAAAGCGUGGGGAGCAAACAGGAUUAGAUACCCGUGUAGUC
This 440-nucleotide ribosomal RNA is filed under the name uncultured bacterium. RNAcentral's name for it is "partial 16S ribosomal RNA". It matches the Rfam family "Bacterial small subunit ribosomal RNA", at positions 338 to 795 of the family's 1533-position model. The record is from RNAcentral.